RNAcentral lists this transfer RNA (98 nucleotides) under Deltaproteobacteria bacterium. RNAcentral's name for it is "tRNA-Sec". It matches the Rfam family "Selenocysteine transfer RNA". Lineage: Bacteria; Pseudomonadati; Myxococcota; Myxococcia. The record is from RNAcentral.
GGAAGUGCCAAGGUCUCUGGUGGGCCUCCUGGACUUCAAAUCCAGUGUGAGGGGCUAGUAACCUCUCAGGUGGGUUCGAUUCCCAUGCACUUCCGCCA